Molecule: non-coding RNA, 77 nt
Filed under: Sulfuricella denitrificans
Lineage: Bacteria; Pseudomonadati; Pseudomonadota; Betaproteobacteria; Nitrosomonadales; Sulfuricellaceae
Also listed under: 1 other name
Description: c-di-GMP sequence
Rfam family: c-di-GMP-I-GGC riboswitch aptamer
Source: RNAcentral
CAGGAUUAAGCCACACCCGUCGCGAGGCGGGGUCGGAAAGCCACGGGUCUUAGAACAAGACAGCCGGGCCGCCAUCG